GGUAGAAUGGCUGAGAGCUAAGCGGUGGAUUGUAGCCCCAUAGACAGAGGUUAAAUCCCUCUUUUUACCA
Molecule: transfer RNA, 70 nt
Filed under: Petenia splendida (bay snook)
Lineage: Eukaryota; Metazoa; Chordata; Actinopteri; Cichliformes; Cichlidae
Also listed under: 1 other name
Description: tRNA-Tyr
Rfam family: tRNA
About the family: Transfer RNA (tRNA) molecules are approximately 80 nucleotides in length. Their secondary structure includes four short double-helical elements and three loops (D, anti-codon, and T loops).
Source: RNAcentral